This 520-nucleotide ribosomal RNA is filed under the name uncultured bacterium. RNAcentral's name for it is "bacterial SSU rRNA". It matches the Rfam family "Bacterial small subunit ribosomal RNA", at positions 8 to 525 of the family's 1533-position model. The record is from RNAcentral.
AGAGUUUGAUCCUGGCUCAGAUUGAACGCUGGCGGCAUGCCUUACACAUGCAAGUCGAACGGUAACAGGUCUUCGGAUGCUGACGAGUGGCGAACGGGUGAGUAACACAUCGGAACGUGCCCGAUCGUGGGGGAUAACGGAGCGAAAGCUUUGCUAAUACCGCAUACGAUCUACGGAUGAAAGCAGGGGACCCUUGGGCCUUGCGCGGACGGAGCGGCCGAUGGCAGAUUAGGUAGUUGGUGGGAUAAAAGCUUACCAAGCCGACGAUCUGUAGCUGGUCUGAGAGGACGACCAGCCACACUGGGACUGAGACACGGCCCAGACUCCUACGGGAGGCAGCAGUGGGGAAUUUUGGACAAUGGGCGCAAGCCUGAUCCAGCCAUGCCGCGUGCAGGAUGAAGGCCUUCGGGUUGUAAACUGCUUUUGUACGGAACGAAAAGACUCCUUUUAAUAAAGGGGGUUCAUGACGGUACCGUAAGAAUAAGCACCGGCUAACUACGUGCCAGCAGCCGCGGUAAUA